UCCGGGCUUGGAGACAUGUACCUGUAGUCCCAGCUACUCAGAAGGCUGAGGCAGGAAGAUUGCUUGAGCUCAGGAGCUCUGGGCUGGAGUGUGCUAUGCCAGUGGAGUAUCUGCACUAAGUUUGGCACAAGUUUGGCACUGAUAUGGUGACCUCCUGGGAGCAGGGGACCACCAGAUUGCUUAAGGAGGGGUGAACCGAGCCAGGUUGGAAAUAGAGCAGGUCAAAACUCCAGUGCUGAUCAGUAGUGGGAUCGUGCCUAUUAAUAACCACUGCACUCCAUCCUGGGCAACAUAGUGAGACCCCUUUUCUU
Unclassified non-coding RNA from Pongo abelii (Sumatran orangutan), 311 nucleotides. It matches the Rfam family "Metazoan signal recognition particle RNA". Rfam says of the family: The signal recognition particle (SRP) is a universally conserved ribonucleoprotein. Lineage: Eukaryota; Metazoa; Chordata; Mammalia; Primates; Hominidae. The record is from Ensembl.